GCCUAGCCGUAAACAAUUAAUUUACACCCAUCAGCGCCAGGGAAUUACGAGCAAUGCUUAAAACCCAAAGGAUUUGACGGUGUCCCACCCCACUAGAGGAGCCUGUUCUAUAAUCGAUGAUCCCCGCUUCACCCGACCACUCCUUGCUAUCAGUCUGUAUACCUCCGUCGAAAGCUUACCAUGUGAACGCUUAAAGUAGGCUUAAUGACCUUACCGUCAACACGUCAGGUCAAGGUGCAGCUUAAGGAGUGGGAAGUAAUGGGCUACAAUUUCUAAUCUAGAACAAACGAAAGACUAUAUGAAAUACUAGUCAUGAAGGUGGAUUUAGUAGUAAAAAGAAAGUAGAGUGUUCUUUUUAACUCGGCUCUGGGACGC
Molecule: ribosomal RNA, 375 nt
Filed under: Lithobates sylvaticus (wood frog)
Lineage: Eukaryota; Metazoa; Chordata; Amphibia; Anura; Ranidae
Description: Rana sylvatica (wood frog) partial 12S ribosomal RNA
Rfam family: Bacterial small subunit ribosomal RNA
Source: RNAcentral